Long non-coding RNA from Strigops habroptila (Kakapo), 1436 nucleotides. RefSeq lists it as uncharacterized. NCBI's taxonomy places the organism in Eukaryota, Metazoa, Chordata, Aves, Psittaciformes, Psittacidae. The transcript has 2 exons. The record is from RefSeq and is a predicted model, not a curated record.
CCUGCUGCCCACUCUGCUCUUGACAUGGCUGAGUGUGGAUCCUUUAGGCUCUUCCCAUGUAACACUGGAAAAUCUAUACCCUUUAGCAGGGGCAGACUGAUACCCUUCUCUAAUCCACAGAAUGAGGACCCAGACUUUGCAUAUUUUGAGACAAAGAUUCUUAACAAGAUUAUAGGCUUAAAAGUUAAGGCCAAAUGUGACCCAGCCAAAUGAUCAACACUGGCUGGAAAGCAGCCUAAUGGAGAGAGAUGAAGAACUCAAAGCUUGCUCCUCUGGCACUGUUGUGGUUCAUUAGAUGGCUGGUGCUGGACUGUGCAGCGUUACCCGCCCUGGCCAGGCCUGCCCCAGUGCCUGUGUGGCACAUGGCCCAUGAGUGGGGAGCUCCAUGUCCCAAAGGUCUCAGCUUCACUCCAGUGAACUCAGCUAGCGUUUUCCAGCACCAGUCCUUGUGCACUUUGGGUUCUGGGUUGAUGCAAUCCUGAGUUCAGCGAAGUCUGAACUCUGCUCACCCCUGCAGGCAACAGCAGAGAAAGUUCAGUCCCUAAAAAGCAGCCGCCUGACCUUGGUCAGCAAGAUCAGCAGAGCUGGAGCCAAUGGUACCGAGAGGUAUUUUAAAGGCCAGUUCUGGAAACUGUAGGCAUGUAUGAGCUCCCUUCCCUCCACUUCUCUAGGAUGGCUGAAGAACUGUAUGCUUUCACACGGGGAGUAGCUGUGUAUUCCUCUGGUGCUCCAGGAUAUGUCCUGGUGUCAGUAUGUCUGCCCCUUGUCACCCCUUCCCUCACCACUCCAGCUAUAUGGAUGAGCAGCGAAAGCAGAACAAACACCUGCAAAGACAAGGCAGCAAAUAAAGGCACUGCAAUUACCAGGGCUCUUUCUGGCUCUGUGCCUAGCAGAUGCUUCAGAUCUGACAGGCAGAUCUUCUCUUUGUGGCCCAAGCAGCUCCAGAGCCGGGGCUCUGCCAACCCUUUGCUUUACAACAACAAAGAGCCCCAGUGUGCGAGUGCUGUGGAGGGGUGACGGGCUCCCCCAGCCCUCUCAGCUUUUUCCAGUCGUUGCUAUUAUCAGCUCAUGUAACCUUCCCUCUUUCAAGGCUCUGAUAAUGAGCACCUAGGACAGCCAGGUGACCUUUGGCUGAGCUUCCUUUUUAAACUCCCGUGGCUUUUGCUCCAUUGCCUAGUUGUUACCCAGCAGUUAAGAUCUGUUCUGAUAGCAGCAGAGUCUGCUCCCCUCCCUUUUCCCCUCUUACUCACACAGGAUCAAAGCUCUCUCUCUGAAUUUGCUUGAACAAAUUUGCAUUUAGGUCAGUGAGAGAUUUACUUGAGGAAGAGAUUUUUUUUUGUCCUGUCUUUUUCUUAACUCCGUAAGAAAGGAUAAUAAGCACAAAGGCAGGUGGGAGAAAAAAACCCUGUGUACUAUAAAUAAAUGAGUUUGGCACA